This 491-nucleotide ribosomal RNA is filed under the name uncultured bacterium. Its description in RNAcentral is "partial 16S ribosomal RNA". It matches the Rfam family "Bacterial small subunit ribosomal RNA", at positions 29 to 506 of the family's 1533-position model. The record is from RNAcentral.
AGUGAACGCUGGCGGUAGGCCUAACACAUGCAAGUCGAACGGCAGCACAGUAAGAGCUUGCUCUUACGGGUGGCGAGUGGCGGACGGGUGAGGAAUCCAUCGGAAUCUCCUUUUUCGUGGGGGAUCACGUAGGGAAACUUACGCUAAUACCGCAUCCUCCCUACGGGUGAAAGCAGGGGAUCUUCGGACCUUGCGCGAUUGAAUGAGCCGAUGUCGGAUUAGCUAGUUGGCGGGGUAAAGGCCCACCAAGGCGACGAUCCGUAGCUGGUCUGAGAGGAUGAUCAGCCACACUGGAACUGAGACACGGUCCAGACUCCUACGGGAGGCAGCAGUGGGGAAUAUUGGACAAUGGGCGCAAGCCUGAUCCAGCCAUACCGCGUGGGUGAAGAAGGCCUUCGGGUUGUAAAGCCCUUUUGUUGGGAAAGAAAAGCAGCAGGUUAAUACCCCGCUGUUCUGACGGUACCCAAAGAAUAAGCACCGGCUAACUUCGU